This 9422-nucleotide long non-coding RNA is filed under the name Hordeum vulgare. Its description in RNAcentral is "long non-coding RNA (HVUL_LNC011351)". The record is from RNAcentral. Lineage: Eukaryota; Viridiplantae; Streptophyta; Magnoliopsida; Poales; Poaceae.
CGGCACCGAGACGAACUGCCGCGGGCCUCUAUGGCAGAGAGAGGGGGGCUCUGGAUCUGCCGUGGCGGAGCUGGAUCCAGCGACGAGGGACGUGCCGUCGCCGGCGGCGAUCGAUUCCGGCGAGAUCGAGCGAUCGUUUUUUCUCUUCUCCCCCCGUGCGGUGUGGUGGUGUGUGUCAGCGACCGAUGAUGCUUUUUUUUCUUCUCUCCAACCGAUGAUCGUUCGUGGAGAUCUGGUGUGCCAUGCCACGCAUACGCCAUUCUUUCACUUUGCCCCCCGGUGCUAACCGUCCCUCGCAAACGGGUCCCUGAAUAAUACCUUAGGGGCUAUUAUGUUCUUCCACUUUGGCCCCUGUUACUAACCGUCCUUCGAGAACGGGUCCCUGAAUGAUACAUUAGGGGCUAUUCUGUCAAAAGUGGAUAAACUACCNNNNNNNNNNCUUCUUGUCUCCAACCGAUGAUCGUUCGUGGAGAUCUGGUGUGCCAUGCCACGCAUACGUCCUUCUUCCACUUUGCCCCCGGUACUAACCGUCCCUCGCAAACGGGUCCCUGAAUAAUACCUUAGGGGCUAUNNNNNNNNNNGAGUACUUAUAGUCACACUGCAACCAACUUAGUAAUUACAAAUUAGUCGAUUUCCUCGCGUUUCUCGAGGUGUCGUAGUGGAGGUUGCUCCAUGCUCAGCAUCGUUUGGGUGCACGACACGAAAUUGAUCGGUACUGCUCUCUCGGUCGGUCCAGGUGCAUAGAGCGAUUAAGGAGUCGCGGCGUGACCAAGACACAGUAUGACAUGUCAGCGUUAAGUUUAAUAUAUUGGAAGCUAUAUGAGAGGGUCAAAAGAGGCAAUGGGCNNNNNNNNNNNNNNNNNNNNNNNNNNNNNNNNNNNNNNNNNNNNNNNNNNNNNNNNNNNNNNNNNNNNNNNNNNNNNNNNNNNNNNNNNNNNNNNNNNNNACAGAAACAAGAGUUCAAUGUAGGUGAUUAUGUCUUGCUAUACAAUUCUUGUUUGAGAUUCUUUGCAGGCAAGCUUCUCUCUAAAUGGGAAGGUCCCUAUGUUGUUGAGGAAGUAUAUUGUUCCGAUGCCAUCAAAAUCAAUAACACGAAAGGAAAUUUUCCUAGAGUGGUAAAUGGGCAAAGAAUCAAGCAUUACAUCUCUGGUACUCCCAUACAUGUUGAUACCAAUAUCAUCAAUGUCAUAACUCCAGAGGAGUACAUAAGGGAUGUUUAUCAGCCUGUUUCAGACCUUGAAAAUGAAGAUGUAUCUGUUUGAGUAAGAAAUUGGACUCCGAUGCUUUUCCAAUAGGAAAUUUCCUCCGUUUUGGAAUUUUUGGAAAAUUAGAAAAAUAAAAAGCAGUCCGGAGAGCGAACGAGGCGGCCACAAGCCCUGCCACCGCCCCUACCCCCCUGGUGGCGGAGGGCAAGCUUGUGGGCACCUCGUGUGCCUCCCGGACUCCGUUUGCUUGCAGAGGACUCCUUCUGGCCCAAAAAAAAUCAAUAUAUAGUCGCCCGAAGGUUUUGAUCUCCGUAUCGCGUAGUUUUCCUGUGUUUUCGUUUCGAGCCUAUUUCUGUGACAGAUCUAGAUCAUCAUGACUUCCCCAAACGCCCCUAAGGACAAGAUCUUCGAGAAAGUCAUCAAUCCCUACCUCACGGAAGUGCUGAAACACCCUCAAUCUAUCAAGAUGAGCGAGGGGAUGUUGCACAUCCGUGAUGUUGAGGGGCCUAAGAAGACCGGAAGCAUGGAAACGAGGCUCGAAGCAAUGGAGCAACAAGUCUUCAAGUGCUAAGGGAUGGUGGAGAGUGGACUCAACGCCAACCACACAAUGAUCAGGGAGUUCACUAGCAAUCACAAGAUGGAUGCCAUUGAUAUUGNNNNNNNNNNNNNNNNNNNNNNNNNNNNNNNNNNNNNNNNNNNNNNNNNNNNNNNNNNNNNNNNNNNNNNNNNNNNNNNNNNNNNNNNNNNNNNNNNNNNNNNNNNNNNNNNNNNNNNUGAUCAACUGCAGGGCCAGAUCUAUGACCAGCAGAACCAAAACUAUGAGUAUGAGUACAUAUUUAAAUCAAUAAGGUUGGCUGCAGAUUUGAGGAUUCCGGCGACUCGUUCAUCCUGCCAUGAUGGAGCACCUAUGCCUUGGAAGACGGAGGAUCAGACUACUCCAACAACUCCACCACCAUCACCACCAAAGGAAGACAACUAAGCAUUGGUAUGGGCAAUCCCCUUGGCUUCUGCCAAGCUUGGGGGAGUUGCCCUGGUAUNNNNNNNNNNNNNNNNNNNNNNNNNNNNNNNNNNNNNNNNNNNNNNNNNNNNNNNNNNNNNNNNNNNNNNNNNNNNNNNNNNNNNNNNNNNNNNNNNNNNCUAGAUCGUGGGACUGAUCGCGGGACGGUUCGCGGGGCGGAUCGAGGGGCGUGAGGACGUUCCACUACAUCAACCGCGUUCACUAAUGCUUCUGCUGUACGGUCUACAAGGGUACGUAGAUCACACAUCCCCUCUCGUAGAUGGACAUCACCAUGAUAGGUCUUCGUGCGCGUNNNNNNNNNNUCUGUACGAUCUACAAGGGUACGUAGAUCACUCAUCCCCUCUCGUAGAUGGACAUCACCAUGAUAGGUCUUCGUGCGCGUAGGAAAAAUUUUGUUUCCCAUGCGACGUUCCCCGACAGUGGUAUCAGAGCCAGGUUCAUGCGUAGAUGUCUUCUCGAGUAGAACACAAAAGUUUUUGUGGGCGGCGAUGCGCGUUUUGCUGCCCACCUUAGUCUUUUCUUGAUUCCGCGGUAUUGUUGGAUUGAAGCGGCUUGGACCGACAUUACUCGUACGCUUACGAGAGACUGGUUUCAUCGCUACGAGUAACCCCGUUGCUCAAAGAUGACUGGCAAGUGUCAGUUUCUCCAACUUUAGUCGAAUCGGAUUUGACCGAGGAGGUCCUUGUAUAAGGUUAAAUAGCAAUUNNNNNNNNNNUAUCUCCGUUGUGGUGUUUGCGUAAGUAAGAUUCGAUCCUACUAGAUACCCAUGGUCACCACGUAAAACAUGCAACAAUAAAAUUAGAGGACGUCUAACUUGUUUUUGCAGGGUAUGCUUGCGAUGUGAUAUAUUGGAUGUAUGAAAUGAUCAUGUUGUAAUAGAUAAUAUCGACUUGCACGUCAAUGGUACGGCAACCGGCAGGAGCCAUAGGGUUGUCUUUAAACUAACGUUUGUGCUUGCAGAUGCGUUUACUAUUUUGCUAGGAUGUAGCUUUAGUAGUAAUAGCAUGAGUAGCACGACAACCCCGAUGGCGACACGUUGAUGGAGAUCAUGAUGAUGGAGAUCAUGGUGUGACGCCGGUGACAAGAAGAUCGUGCCGGUGCUUUGGUGAUGGAGAUCAAGAAGCACGUGAUGAUGGCCAUAUCAUGUCACUUAUGAAUUGCAUGUGAUGUUAAUCCUUUUUUGCACCUUAUGUUGCUUAGAACGACGGUAGCAUUAUGAGGUGAUCUCUCACUAAAAUUUCAAGAUGAAAUUGUGUUCUCCCCGACUGUGCACCGUUGCGACAGUUCUUCGUUUCGAGACACCACGUGAUGAUCUGGUGUGAUAGACUCAACGUUCACAUACAACGGGUGCAAAACAGUUGCACACGCGGAACACUCGGGUUAAGCUUGACGAGCCUAGCAUGUGCAGACAUGGCCUCGGAACACAUGAGACCGAAAGGUCGAGCAUGAAUUGUAUAGUUGAUUUGAUUAGCAUAGAGAUGCUUACCACUGAAACUAUUCUCAACUCACGUGAUGAUCGGACUUGAGAUAGUGGAUUUGGAUCAUGUACCACUCAAAUGACUAGAGAGAUGUACUUUUUGAGUGGGAGUUCUUAAGUAAUAUGAUUAAUUGAAGUAAUUUUCAUGAACAUAGUCUAAUGGUCUUUUCGAAUUACGAUGUAGCUUGCACUAUAGCUCUACUGUUUUUAUAUGUUCCUAGAGAAAAUUUAGUUGAAAGUUGAUAGUAGCAAACUUUGCAGAGGAUUGUCCUCGUUGCUGCGCAGAAGGCUUAUGUCCUUAAUGCACCACUCGGUGUGCUGCACCUCGAGCGUCGUCUGUGGAUGCUGUGAACAUCGGACAUACACGUUUCUGAUGACUACACGAUAGUUCAGUGCAAAAUACUUAAUGGCUUAGAAGCAAGGCGCCGAAGACAUUUUGAAACAUCACGGAACAUAAGUGAUAUUCUAAAGAGAUGAAAUUGUGAUUUCAUGCUUGUGCCCUUGUUCAGAGGUACGAGACCUCCGACAAGAUUCUUUGUCCAUAGAGUAAAGGAGAAAAGCUCAAUCGUUGAGCGUGCGCUCAGAUUGUCUGAGUACGACAAUUGCUUGAAUCAAGUGGGAGUUAAUCUUCCAGAUGAGAUAGUGAUGGUUCUCCAAAGUCACUGCCACCAAGCUGUGAGAGCUUCGUGAUGAACUAUAACAUAUCAAGGAUGGAUACAAUGAUCCUUGAGCGAUUCGCGAUGUUUGACACUGCGAAAGUAGAAAUCAAGAAGGAGCAUCAAUAGUUGAUGGUUUGUAAAACCACUAAGUUUCAAGAAAGGCAAGGGCUAGAAGGGAUACUUCGUGAAACGGCAAAACAGUUGUGCACUAAUGAAGAGACCCAAGAUUAAACCCAAACCCGAGACUAAGUGCUUCUGUAAUGAGGGGAACAGUCACUGAGGCGGAGCAACUCUAGAUACUUGGUAGACAAGAAGGCUGGCAAAAGUCGAAAGAAGUAUAUUUGAUAUACAUGAUGUUGAUGUGUACUUUACUAGUACUCCUAGUAGCAUGAGGGUAUUGGAUACCGGUUCGGUUGCUAAGUGAUUAGUAACACGAAAUGAAAGCUAUGGCAUAAAUGGAGACUAGCUAAAGGCGAGGUGACGAUACGUGUUGGAAGUGUUUCCAAGAUUGAUAUGAUCAAAACGUCGCGCGCUCCCUCUACCAUCGGGAUUGGUGUUAAACCGAAAUAAUUGUUAUUUGGUGCUUGCGUUAAGCAUGAACAUGAUUGGAUCUUGUUUAUUGCAAUACGAUUAUUCAUUUAAAGAUAAUAAUGGUUACUCUAUUUUCCUUGAAUAAUCACCUUCAAUGAUUUAUUGAGUCUCGAUCGUAGUGUUACACAUGUUCAUGAUAUUGGUGUCAAAAGAUACGAGGUAAUGAUGUUAGUACCACUUACUUGUGGCACUGCCGCUUGAGUCAUGUUAGUAUAAAUUGCAUGAAGAGGCUCCAUGCUAAUGGAUCUUUAUAUUCACUUGAUUUUGAAUCACUAGUGACAUGCUAAUCAUACCACAUGAGCAAGGCCUUGUUUUGAUUGAGAUGAAUCAAGAUAGUAACUUGUUGGAAGUGAUACAUUUUGAUGUAUGCAGUCCAAUGGGUGCUGAGGCACGCAGUGAAUAUCAUUAUGUUCUUACUUCAAUGACGAUUUAAGUAGAUACAAGAGUAUUUACUUAAUGAAUCACAAGUCUGAAAUAUUGAAAAGUUCAAUUCUGUUUCAGAGUGAAGUUCGUCGUAACAAGAGGAUAAACUGUCUACGAUAUGAUCAUAGAAAUGAAUAUCUGAGUUACGAGUUUUGGUACGCAGUUAANNNNNNNNNNNNNNNNNNNNNNNNNNNNNNNNNNNNNNNNNNNNNNNNNNNNNNNNNNNNNNNNNNNNNNNNNNNNNNNNNNNNNNNNNNNNNNNNNNNNCGACCACAUACCUCCACGGUUUUACCUCUAGAUCGCGUCUCUGCGGAGCUCGGGCGGAGCCCUGCCGAGAUUAGAUCAUCACCAACCUCCGGAGCGCCGUCACGCUGCCGGAGAACUCAUCUACCUCUCCGUCUCUCUUGCUGGAUCAAGAAGGCCGAGAUCAUCGUCGAGCUGUACGUGUGCUGAACGCGGAGGUGCCGUCCGUUCGGCACUAGAUCGUGGGACGGAUCGCGGGACGGUUUGUGGGACGGUUCGUGGGACGGUUCGAGUGGCGGAUCGAGGGACGUGAGGACGUUCCACUACAUCAACCGCGUUCACUAACGCUUCUGCUGUGCGAUCUACAAGGGUACGUAGAUCGGAAAUCCCCUCUCGUAGAUGGACAUCACCAUGAUAGGUCUUCGUGCGCGUAGGAAAUUUUUUGUUUCCCAUGCGACGUUCCCCAUCAGAAGGGCCUAUCUUGUACCUUUACUUUUUGCCCUUAUAAGAGUCAUGGUGAUCAUCACCAAUUCCCUUUUUGCCUUUUUCUUGGCUACCCGUCACAUGCUUGGGAAAGAUCUAUAUUCAUAUAUCAACUUGGAGUUGAGUACUUAUGCUUUAUUGUUGUUGACUUUACCUUUGAGGUAAAUGGUUGGGAGGCAAAACUAUAAGCCCCUAUCUUCCUCUGUGUCCAGUUAAAACUUUGACACCAUGAGUACCACGUGAGUUGUAACAAUUGUGGAAAACAAAAGAGAUGAUUGAGUAUGUGGGUUUGCCUUACAAGCUCUUAUUUGACUCUUUCUGAUGUUGUGAUAAAUUGCAAUUGCUUCAAUGGCUAUGGUUUAUUGUUGGUUACUUCUCGGUAAGGUUUUUUGCUUCAUGGUUUGCUUUGUGAAGGAAUUGUUACUUUCCCAUAAGAAUCUUUAUGAUGUAUUGUUGUUCUAUGUGUGAUCAUGAUGCCCUCAUGUCCGUAUUAUGUUUUAUCGACACCUUCGUCCCUCAACAUGUGGACAUGUUUAUGGAACUUGGUUUUCGCUUGAGGACAAGCGAGGUAUAAGCUCGGGGGAGUUGAUACGCCCAUUUUGCAUCAUGCUUUCAUGUUGAUAUUUAUUGCUUUUUGGGCUGUUAUAUUACUUGUGGUACCAUAUUUAUGCUUUUUCUCUCUUAUUUUGCAAGUUUUAUUUGAAGAGGGAGAAUUCACGCAGCUGGAAUUCUGGACUGGAAAAGGAGCAAAUCCUAGUCCACUAUUCUGCACAUCUACAAAUGCCCUGAAAAGUUACGUGGAUUUUUUUGGGAUUAUAUAAAAAAUACUGGGCGAAAGAACUACCGGAGGGGGGCUGCCAAGGCGCCACAAGCCCUAAUACCGCCACCCCCUGGUGGCGGAGUGGGGGCUUGUGGGCUCCCUGACAGCCCACUAGCCCCCUCUUUUGCUAUAUGAAUCAUCCUGGUCCAGAAAAAAAAAUCAGAGGGGAGCUUUUUCGUGGUUUCGCCGCCACCACGAGGCGGAACUUUAGCAGAUCCAAUCUAAAGCUCCGGCAGGACGAUCCUGCCGGGGAAACUUCCCUCCCGGAGGGGGAAAUCGUCGCCAUCGUCAUCACCAACACUCCUCUCGUCGGAUGGGAGGCAUGUUCAUCAACAUCUUCAUCAGCACCAUCUCCUCUCCAAUCCCUAGUUCAUCUCUUGUAACCAAUCUUCGUCUUGCAACUCCGAUUGGUACUUGUAAGGUUGCUAGUAGUGUUGACUACUCUUUGUAGUUGAUGCUAGUUGGAUUACUUGGUGAAAGAGUUUAUGUUCAGAUCCUUGAUGCUAUUCAUUACACCUCUGAUCAUGAUUAUGAUUAUGUUUUGUGAGUAGUUACUUUUGUUCCUGAGGACAUGGGAUAAGUCAUGUUAAUAAUAGUCAUGUGAAUUUGAUAUCCGUUCGGUAUUUUGAUAUGUUGUAUGUUGUUUUUCCUCUAGUGUGUUAUGUGAACAUCGACUACAUAACACUUCACCAUAUUUGGGCCUAGAGGAAGGCAUUGGGGAGUAGUAAGUAGAUGAUGGGUUGCUGGAGUGACAGAAGCUAAAACCCCAGUCUAUGCGUUGCUUCGUGAGGGGAUGAUUUGGAUCCACUAGUUUAAUGCUAUGGUUAGACUUUGUCUUAAUUNNNNNNNNNNCGAGAGAGGUUAAUCAUAACUGGGAUGCUUGUCCAAGUAAGGGCAACACCCAAGCGCCGGUCCACCCACAUAUCAAACUAUCAAAGUAACGAACGCGAAUCAUAUGAACAUGAUGAAACUAGCAUGACAGAAAUUCCCGUGUGUCCUCGGGAGCGUUUUUCCUCCUAUAAGACUUUGUUCAGGCUUGUCCCUUGCUACAAAAGGGAUUGGGCCACUUGCUGCACCGUCGCUACUACUUGUUUCUUGUUACUUUUUGCUUGCUACGUUUCACCUGCUAGACAAUCACUUGUUACCGCUACUUUCAGUGCUUGCAGUUAUUACCUUGCUGAAAUCCGUUUAUCAGAGCCUUCUGCUCCUUGUUGGGUUCGACAGUAUUACUUAUCGAAAGGACUACGAUUGAUCCCCUAUACUUGUGGAUCGUCAACCAGCGCCGGCGUCGUUCUACUGCUCCAACUCGACGACAACUCAAAUGAAACACUAUCAUGUUUCAAGUAUGAACAUCCUCAUCGGUGUCUAUUACUGUAAUAUAGUAAGAUGCAAUAUUUUACAUUAAAAGUGAGUCAACCAUGUGACUUUGGUCCACGGACUAGUAAAGAUCCAUUUUUGGUUCAUACCCUAUACGAUUCACCGGCCUAUUGCCUCAUUUGAAACUAGUGUGCUUAACUAUUCCUACUAGGUGAACCACAUUGCCUCAUUUGAAACUAGUGUGCUUAACUAUUCCUACUAGGUGAACCAAUUGACUCACCGGCCCAUUGCCUCUUUUGACCCUCUCAUAUAGCUUCCAAUAUAUUAAACAUAUAACGCUGACCUGUCAUAUUGUGUCUUUGUCACGCCACGACUCCUUAAUCGCUCUAUGCACCUGGACCGAUCGAGAGAGCAGUACCGAUCAAUUUCGUGUCCUGCGACCAAACGACGCUGAGCGUGGAGCAACCUGUGCUACGACACCUCGAGAAACGCGAGGAAAUAGACUAAUUUGUAAUUACUAAGUUGGCUGCAGUGUGACUAUAAGUACUAGGCAGUUUAUCCACUUUUGACAGAACAGUCCCUAAUGUAUUAUCCAGGGACCCGUUCUCGAGGGACGGUUAGUAACAGGGGCCAAAGUGGAAGAACAGAAUAGCCCCUAAGGUAUUAUCCAGGGACCCGUUUGCGAGGGACGGUUAGUAACAGGGACCAAAGUGGAAGAACAGAAUAGCCCCGAAGGUAUUAUUCAGGGACCCGUUUGCGAGGGACGGUUAGCACCGGGGGGGUAAAGUGGAAGAAGGGCGUAUGCGUGGCAUGGCACACCACAUCUCCACGAACGAUCAUCGGUUGGAGAGAAGAAGAAAAAAAAAAGGAUCAUCGGUCGCUGACAGACACCACCACACCGCGCGGGGGGAGAAGAGAAAACAACGGUCGCUCGAUCUCGCCGGAAUCGAUCCCCGCCGGCGACGGCGACGCCCCUCCUCGCCGGAUCCAGCUCCGCCGCCCCAGAUCCGGCGCCCCCCUCCCUCCUCCGUAGAGGCCCGCGGCAGCUCGUCUCGGUGCCGCGCCGCGCCGUCGGAGAAGCCUCCUCCGGCGUCCCGCGGCACCGCCGACUCGGGGGGAGCCUCCCCACGGGGACCAGCUCCGGCGUCGUUCUACUGCUCCAACUCGACGACGCCAUCGCCUAGGG